AUACGUAGGGUGCGAGCGUUGUCCGGAAUGAUUGGGCGUAAAGGGCGCGUAGGCGGCUUUGCAAGUCAGUAGUGGAAGUCCAUUUUUCAAGGAUGGAAGUGCUACAGAAACUGCGGAGCUUGAGUGCAGGAGAGGUUAUCGGAAUUCCCGGUGUAGCGGUGACAUGCGUAGAGAUCGGGAGGAACACCAGUGGCGAAGGCGGGUAACUGGACUGCAACUGACGCUGAGGCGCGAAAGUGUGGGGAGCAAACAGGAUUAGAUACCCUGGUAGUCCACACUGUAAACGAUGAAUGCUAGGUGUAGGAGGUAUCGACCCCUUCUGUGCCGCAGUAAACACAGUAAGCAUUCCGCCUGGGGAGUACGGUCGCAAGAUUAAAACUCAAAUGAAUUGACGGGG
Molecule: ribosomal RNA, 397 nt
Filed under: uncultured bacterium
Lineage: Bacteria
Description: partial 16S ribosomal RNA
Rfam family: Bacterial small subunit ribosomal RNA
Source: RNAcentral